UACGAAGGGGGCUAGCGUUGUUCGGAAUCACUGGGCGUAAAGGGCGCGUAGGCGGCCGAUCAAGUCGGGGGUGAAAGCCUGUGGCUCAACCACAGAAUUGCCUUCGAUACUGGUUGGCUUGAGACCGGAAGAGGUAAGUGGAACUGCGAGUGUAGAGGUGAAAUUCGUAGAUAUUCGGAAGAACACCAGUGGCGAAGGCGACUCACUGGCCCGUUACUGACGCUGAUGCGCGAAAGCGUGGGGAGCAAACAGG
RNAcentral lists this ribosomal RNA (253 nucleotides) under uncultured bacterium. RNAcentral describes it as "partial 16S ribosomal RNA". It matches the Rfam family "Bacterial small subunit ribosomal RNA", at positions 524 to 776 of the family's 1533-position model. The record is from RNAcentral.